AAGACAAAAGCUCAGAGUCCGACAGUUGAGAUAUUUGUGCAUGAACAUUAGCAUGAGGUUUAUUUUGGCUUUUUGGUCUGAAUUUCAAGAUAAUCCCCUUCUUCAACCACAAGUUUUAAUAGCUAGGCAAAUGCUUGGAGCUUUAUUUCAAGCAUAAUGUAUUCAUGUGCUACUAGAAUCUUUCGCAACUGAUGUGCUGUCAACUUCAAAGAACAGUUUUCUGCACCAAUGUAAAAAUUGUGCAUCAACCAUGAUUUUGGGAGGAAAGCAAGACUGCAAGAGCUGCCCUAUUGGCAAUAUCUACUUCAAUUACGAAUAUUUGUUAUGGCUUGAUCUUUGAUACAGUUGAUGCAACUGAGGAUUUUCUUUC
RNAcentral lists this long non-coding RNA (370 nucleotides) under Coffea arabica (coffee). Its description in RNAcentral is "long non-coding RNA (CARA_LNC005289)". Lineage: Eukaryota; Viridiplantae; Streptophyta; Magnoliopsida; Gentianales; Rubiaceae. The record is from RNAcentral.